This 460-nucleotide ribosomal RNA is filed under the name uncultured bacterium. RNAcentral's name for it is "partial 16S ribosomal RNA". It matches the Rfam family "Bacterial small subunit ribosomal RNA", at positions 338 to 795 of the family's 1533-position model. The record is from RNAcentral.
CCUACGGGUGGCAGCAGUGAGGAAUAUUGGUCAAUGGACGGGAGCCUGAACCAGCCAAGUAGCGUGAAGGAUGACAGCCCUAUGGGUUUUAAACUUCUUUUAUAAGGGAAUAAAGUGACCCACGUGUGGGGUUUUGUAUGUACUUUAUGAAUAAGCAUCGGCUAAUUCCGUGCCAGCAGCCGCGGUAAUACGGAGGAUCCGAGCGUUAUCCGGAUUUAUUGGGUUUAAAGGGAGCGUAGAUGGGUUGUUAAGUCAGUGGUUAAAGUUUGCGGCUCAACCGUAAAGUUGCAAUUGAUACUGGCAGUCUUGAGUACAGUUGAGGUACGCGGAAUUCGUGGUGUAGCGGUGAAAUGCUUAGAUAUCACGAAGAACCCCGAUUGCGAAGGCAGCUUACUAAACUGUGACUGACAUUGAUGCUCGAAAGUGUGGGUAUCAAACAGGAUUAGAUACCCGAGUAGUC